This 489-nucleotide ribosomal RNA is filed under the name uncultured bacterium. RNAcentral's name for it is "partial 16S ribosomal RNA". It matches the Rfam family "Bacterial small subunit ribosomal RNA", at positions 30 to 507 of the family's 1533-position model. The record is from RNAcentral.
UUGAACGCUGGCGGCAGGCCUAACACAUGCAAGUCGCACGGUAACAGGAAGAAGCUUGCUUCUUUGCUGACGCGUGGCGGCCGGGUGAGUAAUGUCUGGGAAACUGCCUGAUGGAGGGGGAUAACUACUGGAAACGGUAGCUAAUACCGCAUAACGUCGCAAGACCAAAGAGGGGGACCUUCGGGCCUCUUGCCAUCGGAUGUGCCCAGAUGGGAUUAGCUAGUAGGUGGGGUAACGGCUCACCUAGGCGACGAUCCCUAGCUGGUCUGAGAGGAUGACCAGCCACACUGGAACUGAGACACGGUCCAGACUCCUACGGGAGGCAGCAGUGGGGAAUAUUGCACAAAGGGCGCAAGCCUGAUGCAGCCAUGCCGCGUGUAUGAAGAAGGCCUUCGGGUUGUAAAGUACCUUCAGCGGGGAGGAAGGGAGUAAAGUUAAUACCUUUGCUCAUUGACGUUACCCGCAGAAGAAGCACCGGCUAACUCCGUG